UACGGAGGGUGCGAGCGUUGUUCGGAAUCACUGGGCGUAAAGCGCGUGUAGGCGGCCCUUUAAGUCCGAUGUGAAAGCCCGGGGCUCAACCCCGGAAGAGCAUUGGAUACUGAAGGGCUGGAGUACCGGAGAGGAGGGUGGAAUUCCUGGUGUAGCGGUGAAAUGCGUAGAUAUCAGGGGGAACACCUGUGGCGAAGGCGGCCCUCUGGACGGAUACUGACGCUGAGACGCGAAAGCGUGGGGAGCAAACAGG
RNAcentral lists this ribosomal RNA (253 nucleotides) under uncultured bacterium. Its description in RNAcentral is "partial 16S ribosomal RNA". It matches the Rfam family "Bacterial small subunit ribosomal RNA", at positions 524 to 776 of the family's 1533-position model. The record is from RNAcentral.